Molecule: transfer RNA, 69 nt
Filed under: Marmota monax (woodchuck)
Lineage: Eukaryota; Metazoa; Chordata; Mammalia; Rodentia; Sciuridae
Rfam family: tRNA
About the family: Transfer RNA (tRNA) molecules are approximately 80 nucleotides in length.
Source: Rfam by way of RNAcentral
GGGGCUGUAGCUCAGUGGUAGAGCGCUCACCUGCCAGGCGUGAAGCACUAGAUUCUAUUCUCAGCACCA